AUACGUAGGUGGCAAGCGUUGUCCGGAAUUAUUGGGCGUAAAGCGCGCGCAGGUGGUUCCUUAAGUCUGAUGUGAAAGCCCCCGGCUCAACCGUGGAGGGUCAUUGGAAACUGGGGGACUUGAGUGCAGAAGAGGAAAGUGGAAUUCCAAGUGUAGCGGUGAAAUGCGUAGAGAUUUGGAGGAACACCAGUGGCGAAGGCGACUUUCUGGUCUGUAACUGACGCUGAGGCGCGAAAGCGUGGGGAGCAAACAGGAUUAGAUACCCUAGUAGUCCACGCCGUAAACGAUGAGUGCUAAGUGUUAGGGGGUUUCCGCCCCUUAGUGCUGCAGCUAACGCAUUAAGCACUCCGCCUGGGGAGUACGGUCGCAAGACUGAAACUUAAAGGAAUUGGCGGGG
Molecule: ribosomal RNA, 397 nt
Filed under: uncultured bacterium
Lineage: Bacteria
Description: partial 16S ribosomal RNA
Rfam family: Bacterial small subunit ribosomal RNA
Source: RNAcentral